AUUUUAUGAUGAAAUUUAUCCAGUUCUGCUACUGAUAUUAAAUGGAUGUGAAAUUAUAUCUGAAAUAU
Gordionus sp. m RMFG-2023 is the source of this 68-nucleotide small nucleolar RNA. Lineage: Eukaryota; Metazoa; Nematomorpha; Gordioida; Chordodea; Parachordodidae. The record is from RefSeq and is a predicted model, not a curated record.